GUGCUCACUCUGGCGGUACAUUUACUAAAAUUGGAAUGAUGCAAAGAUUAGCAUGGCCCCUGUGCAAGGAUGAUGUGCAAACUCAUGAAGCGUUCCAUAUUUUU
Phacochoerus africanus (Common warthog) is the source of this 104-nucleotide small nuclear RNA. The record is from RefSeq and is a predicted model, not a curated record. NCBI's taxonomy places the organism in Eukaryota, Metazoa, Chordata, Mammalia, Artiodactyla, Suidae.